Long non-coding RNA from Brassica napus (rape), 1233 nucleotides. RefSeq lists it as uncharacterized. NCBI's taxonomy places the organism in Eukaryota, Viridiplantae, Streptophyta, Magnoliopsida, Brassicales, Brassicaceae. The record is from RefSeq and is a predicted model, not a curated record. The transcript is spliced from 3 exons.
UACAGAACAGAGGAAGAAGUUUGGAAUAGGAAAACAUUCUCUCUUAACCCUUAGUUUCUCUGUAUCAAACUUUAAAAAAAAAAUAUAUUAUGUGAUGAAUGUCAUGAUAAAAGUCUAUAACUUUGUGUAGUGGUAUUAAUUUUUAUUCAUUUUGCUCUGUAUCUUUUGAUAUUUUCAUAUGUGGAAAGGUGGAGGCUAUGGGUUGCAAAAUGUCAUUUAAUUGUUAAUGUCCGACUGUCUGAAUGCUCAACUUUGCAGGGACGGACCCGCAUGCAUAAGUGUAUUUGGCAACCUCGCAGAGCUCAUCGAUGAGGAAUUAGUAAUGUCAGGUGUGGAACCAAAGGUUGUUGUAGCCACCAAUAUCAACCCUAAAUUAGUUGGAGAGUUGGUCACCACAAGGUUGGUCUCGGUAGGAAGGUUCAUCCUCAACGUCUACAAAAUAUGGUGGUGUUAAGAAGAUCGGAACGUUAACACUGUCUGAGCUAAAUGCUUAUAUCACAUCUCCCCACAGGUGACCACUUUCACGUAACCCAUCUGUUAGUGCGUUUCUUGACCGACAAUUUCUUUCACUUUCGUUGGUGCCUUAUCCAAAGGUUUGAAACCAACUUCUCUGCUCUUCCACUGAUAAAAUACUGAAUAUAUUAAAAAUAUUAAUUGGAUCGAACUGUUCUCUUUUGUUUUGAGUGCAGUGUCCCUGAGAUAAAAGAGCAAACAACGAAAGAAAGCUUUCUGUUACAUGGUAUCUCACCAGAAUCAAUCUUUUUUGGACCGUGAGUAUCUCCAAACACAGAAUGUAAUGUCUUCUUUUUUUUUAAUUUUUUAACACAGAAAUAGUAAUCAGCUCGAUAUAGCUUUACAUCAAAAAAAUUCAGGACAUAGAUCAAAAUGUUGUCUCAGUUCAGACGCAUGCAUUUGGUUUCUUUAAUCAGGUAUUGCAAUGAGGAAAGUAAGAUGAACGUUGUGUAUGAGUAUAUGAAAAAAGGAAUGCUUAAAGACCAUCUGUAUGACUCGGAUAAUCCUAGGUUGAGCUGGAGACAGAAGCUUGAGAUAUGCGCUAAAGGGCUUCACUAUCUCCAUACAGGUUCCGCUAGAGCCAUUAUACACUGCGUGUGAAGUCUGCUUCAGGCCAUUGAAGCUCUCGACCCGAACUACGAACUGGUAGUUUACUAGAACCACAAGAAGCAAACUCAAUCGGAAUAGAAAGACAACUUCAUAUCAUCAAACUGAUCCGUG